RNAcentral lists this small RNA (122 nucleotides) under Arabidopsis thaliana (thale cress). RNAcentral describes it as "ATSL233890". Lineage: Eukaryota; Viridiplantae; Streptophyta; Magnoliopsida; Brassicales; Brassicaceae. The record is from RNAcentral.
GGGAUUCCCCGGUUCAAUCGAAUUCUCGAUUUUAUUCACGUUAUUCCUUGGUUUAAAUUGGUAUUGUCGGAGGUGCUAAUUCCUGCACCAACAGAAUUGAUCACCAAAAGCUUGUAAUUCGA